Molecule: ribosomal RNA, 433 nt
Filed under: uncultured bacterium
Lineage: Bacteria
Description: partial 16S ribosomal RNA
Rfam family: Bacterial small subunit ribosomal RNA
Source: RNAcentral
AACGAACGCUGGCGGCAUGCCUAACACAUGCAAGUCGAACGAGACCUUCGGGUCUAGUGGCGCACGGGUGCGUAACGCGGGGGAACCUGCCCUGAGGUUCGGAAGAACUCCCCGAAAGGGGUGCGAAUACCGGAUAAUGUCUUCGGACCAAAGAUUGAUCGCCUUUGGAUGGGCCCGCGUUGGAUUAGCUAGUUGGUAGGGUAAAAGCCUACCAAGGCGACGAUCCAUAGCUGGUCUGAGAGGAUGAUCAGCCACACUGGGACUGAGACACGGCCCAGACUCCUACGCGAGGCAGCAGUGGGGAAUAUUGGCCAAUGGGCGAAAGCCUGAUCCAGCACUGCCGCGUGAGUGAUGAAGGCCUUAGGGUUGUAAAGCUCUUUUACCCGGGAUGAUAAUGACAGUACCGGGAGAAUAAGCUCCGGCUAACUCCGUG